CCCAUCCAUUAGUCCAUCAGCAGGUCCUUGGGCCCUUUUCUUCCUGUGCCAGCUUUUGACAGAAGCCAGAGGAGCCACAAGAAAGCAGUGAGAGCACCGCACUCCUGUGGAAAAGAAACCUGCACUUGGCUGGUGGUGCCUUUGAACUGAAGUGUUGGAGCUUGCCCCAACAUGUGGGGGAAGAGGUUUCCAUCCAGGUUGUUGGCUGUGGACACACAAAUGGUGGAAUUGCCUCUUGGCACAGAAGGAGGAAGGAGGUGCGGGGUGGAGGAGAGCCAUGCCUGGCAGGGCAGAGAGGAAUACCUGUUGAAGAUUCAGAAGAUAUUUUCCAGAGUCCCAGCCCUGAGGCUGAAUGGGAACAGAGCUGGACUCACCCGAGGAAAAACAGAAGAUUAAUGAGGAAACCUACAAAAGAGAAAAGAGAGGCAAAGGCAUCUAGUCACCAUCUGAAGACUUCAGGAGACAGACGGUUAAACAGCACUCCUCCAUCCCUUUGCUGUAAUUUUCUUCUUAGCUCUCAUGCUGUUAUGUCCUCUUUCCAACAUCAGUGA
RNAcentral lists this long non-coding RNA (551 nucleotides) under Anas platyrhynchos platyrhynchos (common mallard). RNAcentral describes it as "lncRNA (ENSAPLG00000017665.1)". Lineage: Eukaryota; Metazoa; Chordata; Aves; Anseriformes; Anatidae. The record is from RNAcentral.